AGAGGAGCUUGCUCUUCUUGGAUGAGUUGCGAACGGGUGAGUAACGCGUAGGUAACCUGCCUGGUAGCGGGGGAUAACUAUUGGAAACGAUAGCUAAUACCGCAUGAAAUUGAAUAUCGCAUGAUAAUUGAUUGAAAGGUGCAAUUGCAUCACUACCAGAUGGACCUGCGUUGUAUUAGCUAGUUGGUGAGGUAACGGCUCACCAAGGCGACGAUACAUAACCGACCUGAGAGGGUGAUCGGCCACACUGGGACUGAGACACGGCCCAGACUCCUACGGGAGGCAGCAGUAGGGAAUCUUCGGCAAUGGGGGGAACCCUGACCGAGCAACGCCGCGUGAGUGAAGAAGGUUUUCGGAUCGUAAAGCUCUGUUGUAAGAGAAGAACGGGUGUGAGAGUGGAAAGUUCACACUGUGACGGUAUCUUACCAGAAAGGGACGGCUAACUACGUGCCAGCAGCCGCGGUAAUACGUAGGUCCCGAGCGUUGUCCGGAUUUAUUGGGCGUAAAGCGAGCGCAGGCGGUUAGAUAAGUCUGAAGUUAAAGGCUGUGGCUUAACCAUAGUAUGCUUUGGAAACUGUUUAACUUGAGUGCAGA
RNAcentral lists this ribosomal RNA (594 nucleotides) under uncultured Streptococcus sp. RNAcentral describes it as "bacterial SSU rRNA". It matches the Rfam family "Bacterial small subunit ribosomal RNA", at positions 72 to 652 of the family's 1533-position model. The record is from RNAcentral. Lineage: Bacteria; Bacillati; Bacillota; Bacilli; Lactobacillales; Streptococcaceae.